AGAGAAACAACCCUUUCAGGACAGAAAACAAAAAACGCAAAAGGGCCGGCUCUGGGUGUCGUCAAACACAAUAAUAUGUAUCAGAAUGAAAAAGACCACAGACAGAGAGGUGAAAGUGAUGAAGAAAUUGUGUGUCGGUGCAUCAAGUCCCAAAGCGCACUCUUCCGAAGGACGGCCGCCCCCGGACUCGAAAUGUUGUCUCUGCUUUAUCUCGCUCUGGGCAGAUGGAGCCAUACCUGAAGCACAGAAAAAGGUACUCGAGGGAUGUGUGGAUCAGAGAAUUCUGUGAGGAAGAGUGAACAGGAACCUGAUGUUGCUGUUCCCACUCUGGCCUGCAGUGAAGAAUGAUAUCUUCCUCCAGCUCAUCUAUUUUUAUAUCUGGUUCACUCACUGAGAACUGAUUGAUUGGCAUGAAUGUGUUUUUAUUUUGUGCAUGUCUAAUUCCUCUUGCAGUUAUGCUUUUGUUGUUCAGUUUUCUACUAACUGUUGCUCGUUGCUAACAGCACUUUACACUGGCUUUGUUCCUCUAGUCUCAUUCAUUUUGGUUCUCAGAUGGAGUCAAUCCUUGUCCUUUAGAAAAGGAGUGUUAUCAUGUUGCUAUUCCUCCUUCACCUUUCAGUCUAUUCCUCACAUGGACUCCUCAUUCCAUUAUCUGCUACAUCUAAUGUUGGUUGUCAGUUACUUGGAUUUAUUCAUCAAUCAAAUUAUUUUUAUAACUGGAUAUUUCACUGCUUAUUUUAACUGGUCUCUGAAUUUUUUCUGUGUUACCACAUAAAUAAAUGCAUUGUGCAGCAAUUACAUUCCACAGCA
Long non-coding RNA from Rhincodon typus (whale shark), 810 nucleotides. RefSeq lists it as uncharacterized. The record is from RefSeq and is a predicted model, not a curated record. The transcript has 2 exons. NCBI's taxonomy places the organism in Eukaryota, Metazoa, Chordata, Chondrichthyes, Orectolobiformes, Rhincodontidae.